Molecule: ribosomal RNA, 253 nt
Filed under: uncultured bacterium
Lineage: Bacteria
Description: partial 16S ribosomal RNA
Rfam family: Bacterial small subunit ribosomal RNA
Source: RNAcentral
UACGGAGGGUGCAAGCGUUAAUCGGAAUUACUGGGCGUAAAGCGCGCGUAGGCGGCUGGGUAAGUCAGAUGUGAAAGCCCCGGGCUCAACCUGGGAACUGCAUUUGAUACUGCCUGGCUAGAGUCUGUCAGAGGGUGGCGGAAUUCCGGGUGUAGCGGUGAAAUGCGUAGAUAUCCGGAGGAACACCGGUGGCGAAGGCGGCCAUCUGGGACGAGACUGACGCUGAGGUGCGAAAGCGUGGGGAGCAAACAGG